GGAAAGAAACCAACAGGGAUUGCCUCAGUAACGGCGAGUGAAGCGGCAAGAGCUCAAAUUUGAAAUCUGGCGUCAUAGGCGUCCGAGUUGUAAUUUGGAGAGGCACCUUGCACGCGGGCCCGGCCUAUGUUCCUUUGAACAGGACGUCGCAGAGGGUGAGAAUCCCGUUCUCGGCAGGGCUUCCCGUGCGGCUUGGGGUGUCUUCUACGAGUCGAGUUGUUUGGGAAUGCAGCUCAAAAUGGGUGGUAAAUUUCAUCUAAAGCUAAAUAUUGGCGAGAGACCGAUAGCGCACAAGUAGAGUGAUCGAAAGAUGAAAAGCACUUUGAAAAUAGAGUCAAACAGCACGUGAAAUUGUUGAAAGGGAAGCGCUUGAGACCAGACUCGGCCAUGGACUAACAGCUUUCCCUGCCGGCGGUGCACUUGUCCCUGGCCGGGCCAGCAUCGGUUGGGGCGGCGGGACAAAGGCCGCGGGAAUGUGACUCCCUCGUGGAGUGUUAUAGCCCGCGGCGCAAUGCCGCCUGCCUCGACCGAGGACCGCGCUUCGGCUAGGAUGCUGGCGUAAUGGUCUUCA
Molecule: ribosomal RNA, 571 nt
Filed under: Tuber panniferum
Lineage: Eukaryota; Fungi; Ascomycota; Pezizomycetes; Pezizales; Tuberaceae
Description: eukaryotic LSU rRNA
Rfam family: Eukaryotic large subunit ribosomal RNA
Source: RNAcentral